AACUGAGUUACUGAAUUUAAAAAGUAAUGCGUUAGAGUACCAGUUACUGUAAAAAAUAACGGCGUUACAGUAACGCGUUAGUCCCAACACUGAUCGUCUGACGCAACAUAUGAGCUGCCAUGCAGAAAGACAGUGACAAAAAGAAUCCAGCAGCUUUAUGACAAUGAAAAGGAAGAUAAAGAGAAUUUAUUGGAGAAAGCCGAAUGUGUUGCCCUGACUGGGGAUCAUUGGACCUCGGUAAGCAAUUCAAAUUACCUCGGUGUGACGGCACACUUUAUUGACAUCAAGUGGCGUCUUCACUCAUUUGCCUUGACCAUCCAGAAGACCACCACUAGGCACUUUGCUGAAAACGUGGCAGAAGAUUUUGAGUCUGUGGCAGAGGCCUGGGAAGUCACACUAAAAGUCACCACAAUCGGAACAGACUGUGCCCGAACCAUGAUCGCUGCAAUGAGACUGCUCACAUUCCAGCAUGCCGUGUGUUGCUCACGUGUUGCAAAGGACCAUCACAGUUUGCCUUGCUGACAGCGGGUUCACAGGCACAUUGGCAAGAUGUCGUAAGAUAGUGGGGCAUUUUAAACACAGCCCCUCAAACACAGAGGAACUGCACAAGGAGCAAACAGAACUAGAACAAGACAAAGAGCCACUGAUACAGGAUGUUUCCACAAGGUGGAAUUCAACACUGUUUAUGAUCUCUCGUCUGCUGAAGAACCAAGAGGCUGUGAAGGCUACUCUAGCCAAACAGAAGCACAAGCUCACCAUGUUGACUACAGUAGAGUGGGACAGACUGCAGAGGCUCGAGACCCUCCUUAAAUCAUGCAGGGAGGGAUCCACAUGUGACUGAGCUCCUUGGGGGUGAGACUUAUGUCUCGUGCUCUGUUGUGUUACCUGCUCUCCGUCACCUGACCCGCACCAUGGAGGUCUCAGAUGACGACCCAGCCUAUGUGGUGAGGUUCAAGGCUGAAGGACCUGUCUCAACGCCAAGAUGCACUCAACCAUGGAUGGCUCAGGGUGGCGACAGCACUCGACCCGCGCUUUAAGGACCUAAAGUGUCUACCAAGAGGAGAGCGAGGAGGGGUGUGGACCAGCGUUGAGGCACUGCUGCAAAAAGAACCAGACAGAGCCACUCCAGAACCCACAGAGGUGCCAGCAAGGAAGAGGAGCUUCCUGCUGUUUAAUUCAGACUCUGAAUCAGAGGAUGAAGAGGGGCCCAACGGGGCUCUGGGCCGCUACAGGGCAGAGCCCACCAUCAGUGAGACAGACUGCCCACUGCAGUGGUGGUCCACUCAUGAGGGGGCCCAUCCACAGCUUUCUGCCCUAGCCCGCAAGUAUAUGGGCAGCCCUGCCACUUCUGUCCCUUGCGAGAGACUUUUCUCACUGGCAGGUAACAUAGUUCAAAAGAAGAGGCCUUGAGCUCUGAACAUGUGAACAGGCUAGUUUGUCUCAGCAACUGGCUGAAAGAGAAGAAGCAGAAUAAGUAGUCUUAGAGGUAUCCUGAGGCCAAGGGGCUUGUUACUGAAAUGUUGAUCAAACAGUGGCCUAUGCAACAGAGAUUUUAUUUUUCAUCAGGAUAUUGGAAGAAUAGGAGGGAUUGAGGUCAAUCACUGGCACUUUUUUAUUUUAUUUUAAAUGGUACACUUUAUGUUGAACUAUUUAUUAUGUUGUUGGUGCAACUGGCACUUUAUGUUGAACUGUUUAUUGUUUUGGCCAAGGUUAUUGAGAUAGUUGGACUGAAAUUGAUUAGAUUUUUUAAAUCAACAAAGUCUGUUAUGGCCUCUGAAGCAAGAGAGAUGUUUUUGAAUAGUCAGGGUUUCCAAUGUUCUAAAUGUACUAGAAAGUAUUGUGUUUUACUUAAAAAAGUACCACCUUGAAAAAAAAUAAACAAUGUUUUGUUGCUUAAGCUUAUGUAUUCAGUCAUUAUUCAAUGGUAUACUAAAAUCCAUGUGAAAAUUGCUUCUCACUGU
This is a long non-coding RNA of Gymnodraco acuticeps, 1961 nucleotides long. RefSeq lists it as uncharacterized. The record is from RefSeq and is a predicted model, not a curated record. The transcript is spliced from 3 exons. NCBI's taxonomy places the organism in Eukaryota, Metazoa, Chordata, Actinopteri, Perciformes, Bathydraconidae.